UACGUAGGUGGCAAGCGUUGUCCGGAUUUAUUGGGGUUAAAGGGUGCGUAGGCGGCUUUGUAAGUCAGUGGUGAAAUAUGGCAGCUUAACUGUCAGGGUGCCAUUGAUACUGCGGAGCUUGAGUACAGAUGAGGUAGGCGGAAUUGACGGUGUAGCGGUGAAAUGCUUAGAUAUCGUCAAGAACACCUAUAGCGAAGGCAGCUUACUAGGCUGUAACUGACGCUGAGGCACGAAAGUGUGGGGAUCAAACAGG
RNAcentral lists this ribosomal RNA (253 nucleotides) under uncultured bacterium. Its description in RNAcentral is "partial 16S ribosomal RNA". It matches the Rfam family "Bacterial small subunit ribosomal RNA", at positions 524 to 776 of the family's 1533-position model. The record is from RNAcentral.